UAGUAGUGCUAGACGUACAGGGCAUGUAGGCGGUUUGUAAGCAUCGUGUGAAAUCCUGCAGCUUAACUGUAGAAUUGCGGUGGGUACUGGCGAGACUUGAAUCACAGAGGGGAAGCUAGAAUUCCAGGUGUAGGGGUGGAAUCUGUAGAUAUGUGGAAGAAUACCUGGUGGAGAAGGCGGGUUUCUAGCUGAUGAUUGACGCUGAGGUGCGAAAGCGCGGCGAGCAAACAGGAUUAGAUACCCUGGUAGUCCCCCCCUGUAAACUAUGUACACUAGGUGUAGGGGCAUGAGUCUCUGUGCCAAAGCUAACGCAAUAAGUGUACCGCCUGGGAAGUAUGCUCGCAAGGGUGAAACUCAAAGAAAUUGACGGGGGCCCGCACAAGCAGCGGAGCAUGUGGUUUAAUUUGAAGCAACGCGAAGAACCUUACCAGGUCUUGACAUCCAGGUAAACUUGCAGAGAUGCAAGGUGUGCUUGCACAAUCUGAGACAGGUGGUGCAUGGUUGUCGUCAGCUCGUGUCGUGAGAUGUUGGGUUAAGUCCCGCAACGAGCGCAACCCUUGUGAUUAGUUACUAACGGGUAAAGCCGAGGACUCUAAUAAGACUGCCGGGGACAACUCGGAGGAAGGUGGGGACGACGUCAAAUCAUCAUGCCCCUUAUGACCUGGGCUACACACGUGCUACAAUGGCCACGACAGAGAGAAGCGAAUUCGAGAGGAAGAGCGGAUCUCAAAAAAGUGGUCCCAGUUCGGAUUGUGGGCUGCAACCCGCCCACAUGAAGUCGGAGUUGCUAGUAAUCGCGGAUCAGC
Molecule: ribosomal RNA, 806 nt
Filed under: uncultured bacterium
Lineage: Bacteria
Description: bacterial SSU rRNA
Rfam family: Bacterial small subunit ribosomal RNA
Source: RNAcentral